RNAcentral lists this unclassified non-coding RNA (585 nucleotides) under Hevea brasiliensis (rubber tree). Lineage: Eukaryota; Viridiplantae; Streptophyta; Magnoliopsida; Malpighiales; Euphorbiaceae. The record is from RNAcentral.
GUUGCUAAGAAUCAAGAGAAAGUUACUGAUAGUCAAAUUUAAUUACGUCUUCUUCCCGCGGCUAUAACUAGAGUAGAGCUGGAUACUGCUUAGCCUGCUGCUUCACUCGCUUCUUGUACUCAAAUUCAUCCUGCAUAUAAAGCUGAUAGCCAUCGGUUUGUGCUGGAUCAUCGGGAUUUGGCUGGUCAAGCAAAUCUUGUAUACCCACCAGAAUUUGCUUCACUGUAAUGGCUGGCCUCCAUCCACUGUCCUCAUUCAGGAUAGACAAACAUACAGUUCCUGAAGGAUAGACAUUUGGAUGAAAGAAACCUGCUGGAAACUUGCACUUUGGGGGUUUGCUUGGAUAGUCUUCACUGAAAUGCAUCGUUACUGGAUAGUGACCGCCCUCCCAGUCAGUCGAAGGUUUACCCGGGAUAGAACAUUGCCAGACCAUCAAAUUAACACUACCAUCAGGACCAGUCUCCGGCUUUGCCACAAAACCAUGAGGAUGAUUCUUACGCCAUGCUUUCCUCUCCUCCGUCAGACGACCACGCGCAAUUCCGCCAGACAUUUUUCCCUAAACUUGCAAAGAGAAAUUGGGAAUCA